GGCGGCGUAGCUCAGUCGGUUAGAGCAGCGGUUUCAUAAGCCGCGUGUCGGUGGUUCGAGUCCACCCGCCGCCACCA
Molecule: transfer RNA, 77 nt
Filed under: Deltaproteobacteria bacterium
Lineage: Bacteria; Pseudomonadati; Myxococcota; Myxococcia
Also listed under: 1 other name
Description: tRNA-Met
Rfam family: tRNA
About the family: Transfer RNA (tRNA) molecules are approximately 80 nucleotides in length. Their secondary structure includes four short double-helical elements and three loops (D, anti-codon, and T loops).
Source: RNAcentral